Lasius niger is the source of this 45-nucleotide non-coding RNA. NCBI's taxonomy places the organism in Eukaryota, Metazoa, Arthropoda, Insecta, Hymenoptera, Formicidae. The record is from Rfam.
CCAUCGGCUUUUUUCAAAGUCACAAAUAUUUAUAAAAAACGUUGG